Molecule: transfer RNA, 71 nt
Filed under: Urocitellus parryii (Arctic ground squirrel)
Lineage: Eukaryota; Metazoa; Chordata; Mammalia; Rodentia; Sciuridae
Also listed under: 1 other name
Description: Spermophilus parryii (Arctic ground squirrel) tRNA
Rfam family: tRNA
About the family: Transfer RNA (tRNA) molecules are approximately 80 nucleotides in length. Their secondary structure includes four short double-helical elements and three loops (D, anti-codon, and T loops). Further hydrogen bonds mediate the characteristic L-shaped molecular structure. tRNAs have two regions of fundamental functional importance: the anti-codon, which is responsible for specific mRNA codon recognition, and the 3' end, to which the tRNAs corresponding amino acid is attached (by aminoacyl-tRNA synthetases). tRNAs cope with the degeneracy of the genetic code in two manners: having more than one tRNA (with a specific anti-codon) for a particular amino acid; and 'wobble' base-pairing, i.e. permitting non-standard base-pairing at the 3rd anti-codon position.
Source: Rfam by way of RNAcentral
GGGGUUGUGGCUCAGUGGUAGAGCACUUGCCUAGCAUGUAUGAGGCACUGGGUUCAAUCCUCAGGACCACA